AUUAGUCGGUUCACACAGUUCACUGCAAACAUUUGAUAAUGAGGCUAAAUAUACUCCCGCGUCGGAGGAGGCGUGGGCGUCCCCGCCCAGGCCCGGGAGACAGAGGCGCUGACCCCGGGACAGAGCCUGGCUUUGUGCGGGAGGCAGACGCGCCCCGCGCGCCGCCCCCGAAACAUUCGCACCCCAUGCUGAGGCGCGCGUCUGGGAGUCCGUGGGCGCCCCGAGGGGCAGUGGAAGCCGUUGGAGGGCCUCAGGCAGGAACACAAGGUGUCGUGGCAGAAAGGAAGAAGGGGCCGGGCACGGUGGCCCACACCCGUCAUCCCAGCACUUUGGGAGGGAGGCCAAGGCAGGAGGAUCGCUUCAAUCCAGGAGUUCAAGAUCAGCCUGGGCAACACAGCAAGACCCCGUCUCUACUAAAACCCUAAAACUUAGCCAGGCUUGGUGGCAUGUGCCUAAGGUCCCAGGUCCUCGGGAGACUAAGGCAGGAGGAUUGCUUAAGCCCAAGAGUUUGAGGCUGCAGUGAACUAUUAUCACACCACUGCACUCAGCCUGGGUGACAGAGUGACUCUGUCUCAAAACUAAAUAAAUAAACAAUAAUUGUGUUAUUCUGUCU
Long non-coding RNA from Homo sapiens (human), 613 nucleotides. Ensembl annotates it as PDGFA divergent transcript. Its record names the gene PDGFA-DT. Lineage: Eukaryota; Metazoa; Chordata; Mammalia; Primates; Hominidae. The record is from Ensembl.